This 429-nucleotide ribosomal RNA is filed under the name uncultured bacterium. RNAcentral describes it as "bacterial SSU rRNA". It matches the Rfam family "Bacterial small subunit ribosomal RNA", at positions 338 to 785 of the family's 1533-position model. The record is from RNAcentral.
CCUACGGAGGCAGCAGGGGGAAUUUCACAAUGGGCGCAAGCCUGAUGCAGGACGCCGCGGAGGGAAGACGGCCUUCGGGUUGUAAACCUCUUUCACCAGGGACGAAGCGUGAGUGACGGUACCUGGAGAAGAAGCACCGGCCAACUUCGUGCCAGCAGCCGCGGUAAUACGUAGGGUGCGAGCGUUGUCCGGAAUUACUGGGCGUAAAGAGUUCGUAGGCGGUUUGUCGCGUCGUUCGUGAAAUCUUGGGGCUUAACUCCAAGCGUGCGGGCGAUACGGGCAGACUUGAGUAUUACAGGGGAGACUGGAAUUCCUGGUGUAGCGGUGAAAUGCGCAGAUAUCAGGAGGAACACCGCUGGCGAAGGCGGGUCUCUGGGUAGUAACUGACGCUGAGGAACGAAAGCGUGGGUAGCGAACACGAUUAGAUAC